Molecule: non-coding RNA, 45 nt
Organism: Schistosoma mattheei
Lineage: Eukaryota; Metazoa; Platyhelminthes; Trematoda; Strigeidida; Schistosomatidae
Source: Rfam
AUCCAGCUGACGAGUCUCAAAUGGGACGAAGUGCUCGUCUUGGAU